AGUGAACGCUGGCGGUAGGCCUAACACAUGCCAGUCGAACGGCAGCACAGUAAGAGCUUGCUCUUACGGGUGGCGAGUGGCGGACGGGUGAGGAAUACAUCGGAAUCUACUUUUUCGUGGGGGAUAACGUAGGGAAACUUACGCUAAUACCGCAUACGACCUACGGGUGAAAGCAGGGGAUCUUCGGACCUUGCGCGAUUGAAUGAGCCGAUGUCGGAUUAGCUAGUUGGCGGGGUAAAGGCCCACCAAGGCGACGAUCCGUAGCUGGUCUGAGAGGAUGUUCAGCCACACUGGAACUGAGACACGGUCCAGACUCCUACGGGAGGCAGCAGUGGGGAAUAUUGGACAAUGGGCGCAAGCCUGAUCCAGCCAUACCGCGUGGGUGAAGAAGGCCUUCGGGUUGUAAAGCCCUUUUGUUGGGAAAGAAAAGCAGCAGGUUAAUACCCCGCUGUUCUGACGGUACCCAAAGAAUAAGCACCGGCUAACUUCGUG
Molecule: ribosomal RNA, 492 nt
Filed under: uncultured bacterium
Lineage: Bacteria
Description: partial 16S ribosomal RNA
Rfam family: Bacterial small subunit ribosomal RNA
Source: RNAcentral